UACGUGCUCCGGGGUCGGUGUAAGUCCGAACCGGCGGUGAUAGUCCGCGACCCGCUACCAAAGCCACAAGCUGAGGGAACGGUUGAACUGGUGAAAUUCCGGUACCGACAGUUAAAGUCUGGAUGGGAGAAGCACGAA
This 138-nucleotide non-coding RNA is filed under the name Glutamicibacter arilaitensis. RNAcentral's name for it is "Arthrobacter arilaitensis FMN sequence". It matches the Rfam family "FMN riboswitch aptamer (RFN element)". Rfam says of the family: The RFN element is a highly conserved domain that is found frequently in the 5'-untranslated regions of prokaryotic mRNAs that encode for flavin mononucleotide (FMN) biosynthesis and transport proteins. This element is a metabolite-dependent riboswitch that directly binds FMN in the absence of proteins. Lineage: Bacteria; Bacillati; Actinomycetota; Actinomycetes; Micrococcales; Micrococcaceae. The record is from RNAcentral.